CAACUCACUGUUUAAUGUGUGAUAGCUAGGUUACGGCGUGUCAUAACUGGACCCAACCCACUGUUUAAUGUGUGGUAGCUAGGUUACGCCAUGUCAUGACUGGACCCAACCCACUGUUUAAUGUGUGGUAGCUAGGUUACGCCAUGUCAUGACUGGACCCAACCCACUGUUUAAUGUGUGGUAGCUAGGUUACGCCAUGUCAUGACUGGACCCAACCCACUGUUUAAUGUGUGGUAGCUAGGUUACGCCAUGUCAUGACUGGACCCAACCCACUGUUUAAUGUGUGGUAGCUAGGUUACGCCAUGUCAUGACUGGACCCAACCCACUGUUUAAUGUGUGGUAGCUAGGUUACGCCAUGUCAUGACUGGACCCAACCCACUGUUUAAUGUGUGGUAGCUAGGUUACGCCAUGUCAUGACUGGACCCAACCCACUGUUUAAUGUGUGGUAGCUAGGUUACGCCAUGUCAUGACUGGACCCAACCCACUGUUUAAUGUGUGGUAGCUAGGUUACGCCAUGUCAUGACUGGACCCAACCCACUGUUUAAUGUGUGGUAGCUAGGUUACGCCAUGUCAUGACUGGACCCAACCCACUGUUUAAUGUGUGGUAGCUAGGUUACGCCAUGUCAUGACUGGACCCAACCCACUGUUUAAUGUGUGGUAGCUAGGUUACGCCAUGUCAUGACUGGACCCAACCCACUGUUUAAUGUGUGGUAGCUAGGUUACGCCAUGUCAUGACUGGACCCAACCCACUGUUUAAUGUGUGGUAGCUAGGUUACGCCAUGUCAUGACUGGACCCAACCCACUGUUUAAUGUGUGGUAGCUAGGUUACGCCAUGUCAUGACUGGACCCAACCCACUGUUUAAUGUGUGGUAGCUAGGUUACGCCAUGUCAUGACUGGACCCAACCCACUGUUUAAUGUGUGGUAGCUAGGUUACGCCAUGUCAUGACUGGACCCAACCCACUGUUUAAUGUGUGGUAGCUAGGUUACGGCGUGUCAUGAUUGAACCCAACUCACUGUUUAAUGUGUGGUUGCUAGGUUGCACCGCGUCAUGACGACACAACCCACUGCCGUGGUUCUCCAUCUCUCUCUCUCUCUCUGUGUCUCUGUCUCUCUGUGUCUCUGUCUCUCUGUGUCUCUGUCUCUCUGUGUCCCUGUGUCUGUCUAUGUCUCUCUGUGUCUCUGUGUCUCUGUCUCUCUGUGUCUCUGUCUCUCUGUGUCUGUGUGUGUGUGCAUCCCAAAUUGUGAGGUACAUCCCAAAUGGGCCCCUAUUCCCUAUUUAGUGCACUACUUUAACCAGACCCCUAUGAGCCCUACAUAGGAUUAGGGUGCCAUUUGGGAUGCACAACAUGUCUGGGUUAUUUUAUGACCCCGGGUAGUCAUCCUGCCAGCCAGUCAGCGUGUGGUGACUCAUCGCUUCACAUUACAGAGAAGAAGUGGUGAAGGGAGUCGAGGGGAUUAUGGGUAGUUCAUAACUGCCUGGUGUGACACUUUAACAGGCCCGACAAUGUGCUCUGGCUUCACUACUACCUGUGUGUGUGUGUUGCAGUAACUAGAGGGAAGGUGCAUGCCUACUUCCCACCUGCUUGCAACCCUCUCCCUUACAACUCUUGCCCUCGUAAUAAUCUGGGAAGCAGCUCUGCGUAAGCCUUACCUUGACAGUAAACAGCCUCUCCUUCAUCAACACUCUUGCCGGGCCUCCUCGUGGCAACACACGGUAACUGGGUGGCCCCAUGCUAACUCGGCCUGUACCAGCUGUGGGGAGGUACCGGUCAUCUUUGAUAUUUUCUUCUCCUUUCCUCGCCACCGGAGUAGCCCAUUUCCCAACAGCGUGUCACUCACUAAAUCGGUUCAUCACGCAGGUAUCCACUACUGCUCUGCAGCGACUUCCACCUAGAAUUCCUGAAACCAUUCAAGUCUACAGGCAAUGGGAGUGCUUGGUAACGGGCAGGACGGAAUGAUCUGGAAUCUCCUAGCCGGGCCCCUGCACGGUAGCAGCACGGGGCUUUUGGUUGUCGUCAGCAGCUGGGAUUUGAGUGGCAGCUACACCUGGUAGAGUAGUCCUGUUUUAGGAACCACAGUGCUCACCCCAGCAGGGGAAAAGGUGUCUGAAACAUUGCCCACUUUAACUCUCUUAUUUAGAUAGGUGCAGUAGCCUAUCAGGACAUUCCGUUUCAGCGGUCGCUAACUAGAUACAAAUAAAUGUGUCCUUACGACUUAUACCAUGGAACAUCUCUUGGACGCGAGCCACGGCGCCGACAGGCCCGAAGGAAGGACGAGGCUCAUCACAGCCAAGCUGAAGCGCCGACAGGCCCGAAGGAAGGACGACGCUCAUCUCAGCAGAGCUGAAGCGCCGACAGGCCCGAAGGAAGGACGACGCUCAUCUCAGCAGAGCUGAAGCGCCGACAGGCCCGAAGGAAGGACGACGCUCAUCUCAGCAGAGCUGAAGCGCCGACAAGCCCGAAGGAGGGACGACGCUCAUCUCAGCAGAGCUGAAGCGCCGACAGGUCCGAAGGAAGGACGACGCUCAUCUCAGCAGAGCUGAAGCGCCGACAGGCCCGAAGGAAGGACGACGCUCAUCUCAGCAGAGCUGAAGCGCCGACAGGCCCGAAGGAAGGACGACGCUCAUCUCAGCAGAGCUGAAGCGAUUUAUAACAAUGACAUCACUGCAAAUAGUGUGAGACCAGACUCCUUGGUGAAGGGUCGCUCAGCCAUCCUUAACCAAGCUAGAGAAUGAAGGUUCACCCAGCCAUCCUUAACCGAGCUAGAGAAUGAAGGUUCACCCAGCCAUCCUUAACCGAGCUAGAGAAUGAAGGUUCACCCAGCCAUCCUUAACCGAGCUAGAGAAUGAAGGUUCACCCAGCCAUCCUUAACCGAGCUAGAGAAUGAAGGUUCACCCAGCCAUCCUUAACCGAGCUAGAGAAUGAAGGUUCACCCAGCCAUCCUUAACCGAGCUAGAGAAUGAAGGUUCACCCAGCCAUCCUUAACCGAGCUAGAGAAUGAAGGUUCACCCAGCCAUCCUUAACCGAGCUAGAGAAUGAAGGUUCACCCAGCCAUCCUUAACCGAGCUAGAGAAUGAAGGUUCACCCAGCCAUCCUUAACCGAGCUAGAGAAUGAAGGUUCACCCAGCCAUCCUUAACCGAGCUAGAGAAUGAAGGUUCACCCAGCCAUCCUUAACCGAGCUAGAGAAUGAAGGUUCACCCAGCCAUCCUUAACCGAGCUAGAGAAUGAAGGUUCACCCAGCCAUCCUUAACCGAGCUAGAGAAUGAAGGUUCACCCAGCCAUCCUUAACCGAGCUAGAGAAUGAAGGUUCACCCAGCCAUCCUUAACCAAACUAGAGAAUGAAGGUUCACCCAGCCAUCCUUAACCAAAC
Oncorhynchus keta (chum salmon) is the source of this 3371-nucleotide long non-coding RNA. RefSeq lists it as uncharacterized. The transcript has 6 exons. Lineage: Eukaryota; Metazoa; Chordata; Actinopteri; Salmoniformes; Salmonidae. The record is from RefSeq and is a predicted model, not a curated record.